AGCCCAAGCAGACACACAACCAGGAUCCAAGUAGAAGAGUGCCCUUCUACCUGGCGGCCCACAUGAUGCACAAGGCAAUGCAAUAAUUUCUGAUUAUCUGGAGUCCUGUCAAUCACCUUUUAAAGCCCAAGGAACCGCCCUCCAGGACAUGAACCACUGGCAGAAAAAGCAAACAAAGGCAAAACAAGAGAUAUAUUUCCUGUGGCAUAGACUAUUUUAAGUUUAACUGAAGAAUUGCUUCCAAACUUCUUUAUUAAAAGCACUUUUCACUUUCGAAGACUGCUGCAGAUUUCUUCUGAAGUGUUGGAUACGGGUUACUCUCAAACACCAUACAAUGUCAAGUUUUACAUCUCUGAAAAUAUAGCUGUGGAAGACACAGACCUUGUUUGUACCUAUGCACAGGUACAAAAUGCUGUGCAUAAUUCAUUGAUGAAAAUGUGUUGGCUGUAAAAUAGAUUAUUGACUGUAAGGGAGAAGCCUAAUAAAGGCACGCGGUGGUGGUGGUGGCAGCACCUGUUUCUCUUCCUCACCCUCAGAUGGUGGACAAAAUGAGGAGCUGCCACUUCUGCACGCUACCCCAUUUAUUAAGAGGGGAGUGGGGAGGAAUCACUGCCAACAUCUUUCCUUUUCCUAUCUCCUUCUCAGCAAAUGGUAUCUCCUCCCAGAAGCCCCUGUGUGAUUGAGUUAUGGUAGGAAAGCCUGUUUGUUCAUCAAGGGAGAGGAGGGGAGGCAGCAGCGGCACUGCAAAUCUUUUGCACUCUUACUAGCUACUCCAGCCUGCCUCCCCAUGCACAAAUUGGAACAUUCCCCAGAGGCAGGGAUGUUGUCAUUUGUGGACAGAAAGCAGGUAGAAGGAGGCAGUGGUAGCACAAGAGACUCAUGGCCGCCUCCUGGCACCGCCCCCCUUAGGCUUCAUGGUUGACUGUGAGGCCUCAGGCCACUGCCUAACAUGGAUGUCUUCCUCAGUACAAAAUAUGCGCAGUCAUGUGAAAAAGCUUGCAAGUGUCUAUUUUGCCACUGUUAAACACAUGUAGAAGCUGCAAGAGGCACUGGGGCUGAUCAGACCCAAUCCUGGUGCUGUCUCAACCGGUAGCUCGGGUUUCUUACCUGGGCACAAGCAUGCUCUUCUACCUCAGUCCCUGGUCACGUGGCUGCUUGGGCUGCCUGCAGCCCAAGCAGCUGCAGACCUGGGUGGCUAGAGUGCCCAGUAGUGCGGAAAUCCUUCAAUGCACCGUACUUCUCAUGUGGUGCAUUGUGGGAUUUAUGGAGGCUGGGCUUUGUUUCCCUGGCCUCCAGAUGGCCAUGUGGCUCCUGGCAACAUGGCUCAUGUGGGUGUGGGAGCCACGUGGCCAAAGUAAAGAACAGAAUCAUCUGGGGGGAAGGUAGGUGCAAUCCUGCCUUCCCUCCCCACCCUGCUUAGAGGGUUGUGUGAAAGACCUUUCAGUGUUAACUGGAAGCCUAACCCAUGUUACUGUAUUUACUGUACUUUCUGUCAUGGGACUUCUUUCUCUUUAUUCCUCUGGGGCAAGAUUAGCUCAAGAGCUAAUCUGAGGAAUUGCCCCAGGUUGCCCUAUUUAAAGCAAAUUCUGUUUUGUUUUUAAAUUAAACUAAUGUUAAAAAGCUAUGUCCAAGUUCAGGACAUUUGGUUUCAAAUGAUUUUCUUAAUAAAACCUGUGCAUCUGUAAGAACUACCAUGGUUUCUCUCAGUUUUAAAAAGCUUGUAAUCCAUUUUAAAACUAAAUGUCACUGUAGGACUAGAGGAUGGCCCUGACCUCCCUUCAACCAUCUCAGCCAUAGUAUCCAGUUCUAAUCGGGUUCUGGUUUUUAAUUUUUUUUUUAUUGCCAUGAGGAUUGGCUGUUGCAUACUUGUCUUUAGAGGAGGAGAAUCUCCAGCUGGAAACCUACCACUUCCUGUUUGCAUUGUACUCACCCACGGAAAAACUGCUAUGGACAGAUGCAAGUUUGUUUAUGAGUGAAGGGCCAGGCUACGUUUGGCUAUUUACAUUUUGCAGCCUUCCAGGAUCCCCUCUCCGCCCCCACUCCCUUAAUAUCUUCUGCCACCCCUCUUUCUGUUGCUCAGCUCUCAUUCGGCUGCCAUCUCCC
Long non-coding RNA from Hemicordylus capensis (graceful crag lizard), 2103 nucleotides. RefSeq lists it as uncharacterized. The record is from RefSeq and is a predicted model, not a curated record. NCBI's taxonomy places the organism in Eukaryota, Metazoa, Chordata, Lepidosauria, Squamata, Cordylidae. The transcript is spliced from 3 exons.